GGCGAAGUGCCAGAGUGGUUAAUGGGAUUGACUCGAAUUACCACCGAUAUCAAUUGGCUUCGGCCGCGCAAGUUCGAAUCUUGUCUUCGUCG
Colletotrichum gloeosporioides Cg-14 is the source of this 92-nucleotide non-coding RNA. Lineage: Eukaryota; Fungi; Ascomycota; Sordariomycetes; Glomerellales; Glomerellaceae. The record is from Rfam.